Acanthosepion pharaonis is the source of this 95-nucleotide non-coding RNA. NCBI's taxonomy places the organism in Eukaryota, Metazoa, Mollusca, Cephalopoda, Sepiida, Sepiidae. The record is from the annotation of a GenBank genome assembly.
ACGUUAAAACACCUGUUCUCGUACUAUCACCGAGGUUAAGCGACGUUGGGCCUGGUCAGUAACUAGAUGGGUAACUGCGUGGAAGUGCGGGUGGU